Molecule: regulatory RNA element, 35 nt
Organism: Flavobacterium rivuli
Lineage: Bacteria; Pseudomonadati; Bacteroidota; Flavobacteriia; Flavobacteriales; Flavobacteriaceae
Rfam family: DUF805b RNA
About the family: Bacteroidetes, Chlorobi (1 example), Proteobacteria. Lineage (Flavobacteria)
Source: Rfam
ACGGAGUAUCCGAAAAUCCGAUAAUAGAGUAGGGC